This 468-nucleotide ribosomal RNA is filed under the name uncultured bacterium. RNAcentral describes it as "partial 16S ribosomal RNA". It matches the Rfam family "Bacterial small subunit ribosomal RNA", at positions 28 to 507 of the family's 1533-position model. The record is from RNAcentral.
GACGAACGCUAGCGGCGUGCUUAACACAUGCAAGUCGAACGGAAAGGCCCUGCUUUUGUGGGGUGCUCGAGUGGCGAACGGGUGAGUAACAAGUGAGUAACCUGCCCUUGACUUUGGGAUAACUUCAGGAAACUGGGGCUAAUACCGGAUAGGAGCUCCUGCUGCAUGGUGGGGGUUGGAAAGUUUCGGCGGUUGGGGAUGGACUCGCGGCUUAUCAGCUUGUUGGUGGGGUAGUGGCUUACCAAGGCUUUGACGGGUAGCCGGCCUGAGAGGGUGACCGGCCACAUUGGGACUGAGAUACGGCCCAGACUCCUACGGGAGGCAGCAGUGGGGAAUAUUGCACAAUGGGCGGAAGCCUGAUGCAGCAACGCCGCGUGCGGGAUGACGGCCUUCGGGUUGUAAACCGCUUUCGCCUGUGACGAAGCGUGAGUGACGGUAAUGGGUAAAGAAGCACCGGCUAACUACGUG